GUUGUUUUGCCCGUUCUCCACCUCACACCCUCUCCCGACGACGAGCCAAAUCCCGCACGAAAUCCCUAGCUUCGCCGCGAGCGCGGGCGAUGAGAGAGCCGGCGGCGAGUCUAAUACAACGAGCGCGGCGACGCCCCCCUGGCGAAGGAUCCCAUAGCAGUUCGACGAGGCGAGGGCGGGGCGUGUGUCGUACAAGGAGGAGAAGGCAGCGGCGACGGGGGAGGGGGUGGAGCUGGUGGUUCAGCGGGAGGCGGCGACGAGCACCCGGAGAGCGAGAUCCCGCUUGCUUCGAACGACCUAGGCAAGGCAAGGCCACCUCUUUUUUUUUUUCUUUUUUCACGAACACCCGUGUGGAAGUUUUAUUAAAAAUGGAGGGCUCCACAGAUGAACAGACUGGCGAGGGUGCAACAAGAGUAAUACAAGGCCAUAGGCGUCCUAGGAAGAAGCCAGUUCAGGAAGGUCGAAACAGAGCAUCGCCAGCAAGGCUAGUAAAGUUAAACAAGAGCUUGGACCAACGGCAGAAGGAUCUGAUAGAAACUUACCUUCUGGGAGGCAUAUUAAAGACCGAAGCAACAACAAUGCCCGCAGACCUCAGCAGGUGGGUAAUGGCAGAUCUACGACCCAGAUAGCGAGUUCAUCGUUGUCCCAGGCAGGGGCGAGAUCCCCUUAACAGCCAAAAGCAUCCACCACACCUUGGGUCUUCGCAAUUCAGGGGAGGAAGUGUUCUACGGGUGGGAUGCAGAAGCAAUAUCUUUCAUAAACAGCAGGUUCGGUUUUCAGAAUGGGUGCGCCCCCGAGAUAACAACUGUCUGCACUAUGAGUAGGAAACUUUCCUAAAAUGCCAGCCACCAGACCCUUCCGCAUAGCGCGCGGGCGCUACGUAGCAGCGUCCAUAACUAAAUAUGUCAGCCAUACUAACUUAAUUCUUUCAGCAUGCAAACAUACUAGCUCAACAUGCAUGCAACCACAAGAAAGUAUCACCUCAAUAUUCAUUCAUGGAAAAAGACUUUGCGUUGUAUUAUAUAUGCUAUUUUUAUUCAGUAAAUAUUUUCAAGUAUACAAUAACUAAAUGCAACAAACCGUAUGUAUUUUCAAUAUCAUUUCUCAUAUUAUUAAUCCAAAUAUUCAUGUUUCAUACAAUAAAAUUUCCUUGAAUAUUGCAAACAAUUCAUGUGUCAAUGUGCGAGGUAUAAUCUAAUUUCUUGAAACGGUGCACCUACUUUCUGGUAAAAGAUUAAAGCAAGUGAGAUAUAUGGGGUAUAGAUAUUUUAGUGGUAGUACAUUGUCCAUCCUCUUGCUCUGAUGGUUGGCUGCCGGUGCUUCUUCCCGCUUCGUAUUCUGUUGCUCCACACUUCGCCGCUGGAGGAAGCACAAUAUGUAGCAUAAACAUCGAUCUAUCAUGGUCUCUACCUUUCUCUCAAUUCUCUUGUUUGCCUAGUCAGUGAUGCUCCCCCUCCCCCCCCCCUUCUCUUUACUCACCAUCAAUCAUGUUUCCGACACCGUGAGAUUGACCCAGUGGAAUCAUGCAUGAGACAACCGUGGAUAAGAGUGAGAACCUAGUUCGCUUGAACUAUGGCAGACGAGGAGGAUCUCUGGGGAUCAGUUGGUUAUCUUUUUGUUGCUUGAUGAAAUCUGUUUUGUUGAACUUGCAGCAGCUUAUUCAAUAUAGAGGAAAUGGAAUUACGCCUACAAGUAGCAAAGGUCAUUUAUGGUCACCCUGCCCAAAUAAAUAGAUAAUAAAUUUUGCCAUCACAUGCUUGAGUAGCUUCUUCUUUUGCUUGAUUAAGCCUUGAAAACUUGCAGUAAUAUGAUUGGAGACUUGAAGUGAGUGGCAAGAGAUAGCAAAUAAAUUAUAGAAUAAUGUCAAAUCUUG
Long non-coding RNA from Triticum dicoccoides, 1873 nucleotides. RefSeq lists it as uncharacterized. The record is from RefSeq and is a predicted model, not a curated record. Lineage: Eukaryota; Viridiplantae; Streptophyta; Magnoliopsida; Poales; Poaceae. The transcript has 3 exons.